UGGGGAAUAUUGGACAAUGGGGGCAACCCUGAUCCAGCAAUGCCGCGUGUGUGAAGAAGGCCUUCGGGUUGUAAAGCCCUUUAGGUUGGGAAGAAGCUUAGUAUUUUAAGAGAUAAUUAAGUUGACGGUACCGACAGAAUAAGCACCGGCUAACUCUGUGCCAGCAGCCGCGGUAAUACAGAGGGUGCGAGCGUUAAUCGGAGUUACUGGGCGUAAAGGGCGCGUAGGUUGUAGCAUAAGUUGGUUGUGAAAGCCCUGGGCUUAACCUGGGAAUUGCAACCAAAACUGUGUAACUAGAGUACUGUAGAGGGUAGUGGAAUUUCCGGUGUAGCGGUGAAAUGCGUAGAGAUCGGAAGGAACACCAGUGGCGAAGGCGGCUACCUGGACAGAUACUGACACUGAGGCGCGAGAGCGUGGGGAGCAAACAGG
Molecule: ribosomal RNA, 429 nt
Filed under: uncultured bacterium
Lineage: Bacteria
Description: bacterial SSU rRNA
Rfam family: Bacterial small subunit ribosomal RNA
Source: RNAcentral